Molecule: transfer RNA, 82 nt
Filed under: Ghiorsea sp.
Lineage: Bacteria; Pseudomonadati; Pseudomonadota; Candidatius Mariprofundia; Mariprofundales
Description: tRNA-Leu
Rfam family: tRNA
About the family: Transfer RNA (tRNA) molecules are approximately 80 nucleotides in length. Their secondary structure includes four short double-helical elements and three loops (D, anti-codon, and T loops).
Source: RNAcentral
GCCCGAGUGAUGGAACUGGUAGACUUGGGGGAUUCAAAAUCCCUUGCCUCACGGCGUGGCGGUUCGAAUCCGCCCUCGGGUA